CCUGCCUCAUACAGGGGGAUAACAGUUGGAAACGACUGCUAAUACCGCAUAAGCGCACAGGAUCGCAUGAUCCGGUGUGAAAAACUCCGGUGGUAUGAGAUGGACCCGCGUCUGAUUAGCCAGUUGGCAGGGUAACGGCCUACCAAAGCGACGAUCAGUAGCCGACCUGAGAGGGUGACCGGCCACAUUGGGACUGAGACACGGCCCAAACUCCUACGGGAGGCAGCAGUGGGGAAUAUUGCACAAUGGGGGAAACCCUGAUGCAGCGACGCCGCGUGAGCGAAGAAGUAUUUCGGUAUGUAAAGCUCUAUCAGCAGGGAAGAAGAAUGACGGUACCUGACUAAGAAGCACCGGCUAAAUACGUGCCAGCAGCCGCGGUAAUACGUAUGGUGCAAGCGUUAUCCGGAUUUACUGGGUGUAAAGGGAGCGCAGGCGGUGCGGCAAGUCUGAUGUGAAAGCCCGGGGCUCAACCCCGGUACUGCAUUGGAAACUGUCGUACUAGAGUGUCGGAGGGGUAAGUGGAAUUCCUAGUGUAGCGGUGAAAUGCGUAGAUAUUAGGAGGAACACCAGUGGCGAAGGCGGCUUACUGGACGAUAACUGACGCUGAGGCUCGAAAGCGUGGGGAGCAAACAGGAUUAGAUACCCUGGUAGUCCACGCUGUAAACGAUGAAUACUAGGUGUCGGGGAGCAUUGC
This 694-nucleotide ribosomal RNA is filed under the name uncultured bacterium. RNAcentral describes it as "bacterial SSU rRNA". It matches the Rfam family "Bacterial small subunit ribosomal RNA", at positions 125 to 836 of the family's 1533-position model. The record is from RNAcentral.